GUGAGCGACAAAUAGAAGUAGUUGAUGAUGUUUCGAAUUAUGUUGUCGUCCCCCUUCAAGAACUUGAAAACAUAAAAACAGAGCUUAAAAAUUUACAAUUGACAGUGGCGGAAAACCUCGUAAAAAUUAACGGGAAUUUGGAGGAAUUGCUGCGGCGGUCGAACCUCGUAGGUGGCAUAGUUGAGGAGAUAGCAUGCGACCACCCAACUCUCCCUGUGACUACUAUUGAGAAUUUUGACAAGUUGUCAGAGUGGAUAAAAACUCGAGAGAACAAAAUAAAGUUGGUUGCGAAACUAAGGAUUUUGGGCGGAGCAAACUCCGAGGAGAUAAGCAAACGCGUUUUGGAUUAUCUGUUUGCUAAGAAUAUUGCCA
This is a long non-coding RNA of Folsomia candida, 372 nucleotides long. RefSeq lists it as uncharacterized. The record is from RefSeq and is a predicted model, not a curated record. The transcript has 3 exons. NCBI's taxonomy places the organism in Eukaryota, Metazoa, Arthropoda, Collembola, Entomobryomorpha, Isotomidae.